AACGUGUAUGUCGUCUAUCACGUACCAUAGAAGUACAUGUGCGCAUGCGUAUUGAGAGAGCCUUCCUGUUCAGUGCGCGGUAAUGGUAUCAGGAUGGAGAACGGAGAGGUUUCCUUCUGAAUACCGCAGCUGUAGCAGAUCCGAGAGUACCUGGCGGACGUAAACAAAUCCAGCCAGCCAUGUUGGCGCAUGCGCAGUACUACAAACAACAACUGCAAAGAGCAGAACACCUUGGCCUGGAUUUCAGUGAGAUGGCAGAGCACAUUUACUAACCACAGCCAGCAUUUUGCCAAGAUGUCUGGCCUCCUGAGAUCCCCCCACACCCCCCCAGGGCUCGGCUGCUCAUAAUGAAUUUAAAAGCUUCUCGCCGGUUUGUACACACAGCCUCGAACACAGCUGCAGGCCAUUCUGCAGCUCUCAGCUCCAGCUCUUCAUCUGCUCUCCAACAUCAGUGGAGUCUCACUGUGGUCCCUCCACCCUCCUCCACUCUCCCCUUCUUGCAUCAUGCCUCCCCCACAUCGUCCUCCCGCUCUGGCUCUGGUAUGAUCCUGUGUUGCCUUCGUCUUUACUCCUGUUUCUUUAGCCAGCAGAAACACUCACAGAGAAAUCCACACCUUGUUGAGAAUUUUAAUAUAAAGCUGCUGCAGCCGGUGGACUAUUUGUCACGUCUUCAUCUUUGACUGGAGCAUCUAAUAUAAUCGAACAUUAGCUUGUGCUGUGCCCAAGGCCUCUUUUAGAUAUUAAUGCUAUGUUAAUUAUUGUCUGCAUUCAAAGUUUAAAUCCCAAAGUUAAAGAUUUUGUCAUGCAGAUUUUAAAAAUUGUUUUGCUUUUUGAGCGCGCUGUUGCUGCCUUUGAGAUGUAUCAUCUUGUUUUUGUGGGGGCCCCAGAAAUAAUUUAGAAGCUCUUCGCAGCACUGAACAUUUUUAGGAAAUAGUAAUGGAACAAAAUCACAAUGUUUGCUUGCAAAAACUGUCCCGCAGAAAACUCUUAAACUGUUAAAUGAUGCUGAGCGAAUGCCAACUCUUUGGGGCUCCUGGUGUAGCCAUCAGUUAAAGGGAUACUUCCAUUUUUUUGAAGUGGGGUUGUAGGAGUUGCAUGUCCCCCAUAGUUGUACUAGAAACAAUGGAUGCUGCUCAGCUUGGCCCCUUUAAUGAAAAACUGCCCGCAGAAACAGCACGCAAGCUAGACUACAAUUAACUGCAGAUGGGGCCUAUUCUGCCAUGUUGUUAAGCUCAUUUUGAAGGACUCCAACUCAUGAACUCAUCUCUGUUUAGGUGUACGCUCCACUUGGGAUUUUUUCAGCACCUCACUGUGCAAGAAAGCCCUUUCUGUUUUUGCACAGACGUGCUCUUUUGCAUGCAGUUCACUGAUCAGCUGUUCAGGUCUGCAGCCUCAAAGAGACAAAAAUACAACCAAACUAAAUAACGAGUGACUGACAGCACCGAUGAGAUGCCUUUUACUGCAGGCACACGUUUGCUCUCCAUACAGACUGUUUUUCUGUUGAUAUAUAAGACUGCAAACAAAAACCAGAACACUUCCAGUUUAGUCUCAGGCCUUCAGAUUAUCAUAAACAUAAUUCUUUAACGAUACAGUUCCAUGAAACCUAAUCCACCUCAAUCUCUGCUGCUGAAGACUGUGGUGUGUUUAGGAACGCUCUGGAUCAGGUGAGUUAAGUAGACCCUUAAGUGGAGACUGUUUAAACCACCUGCUGUUUGCAAGGUCAACACAGAACUGUCAUGCUUUAUUUACCAUCUCUUUCUCACACUUUAAUUGGUUGUGUUGUUCCAAGGUCACCAUAAGAUUUACAUUCAUCUGUGCACUUAUUGCAUCACUUUCAUUAAGUUCAAGGCAGUAUAUUAAUUCUAUUGUUUUUAAUAAUAGUAUUCUACGCUGUGUAGCAUAUGGCUCAUACUGUAUUUUGUUUUGAUGUGGUUUGAAAGUGGAAACUGUUUAUUUUAGAGGUCAAGCUUUUAUCACAGACAGAUUUAUUUGUUUGUUUACUUUGCAAGAACUUGACUUUUAAAAGAAACAAGACCAUGAAACAGACAUAAUUCUUAUUUGCUUUCAUGUAAUGUCCUCUAAAUUGAUCUCACAUUAAACAUUAAA
This is a long non-coding RNA of Notolabrus celidotus (New Zealand spotty), 2106 nucleotides long. RefSeq lists it as uncharacterized. Lineage: Eukaryota; Metazoa; Chordata; Actinopteri; Labriformes; Labridae. The transcript is spliced from 4 exons. The record is from RefSeq and is a predicted model, not a curated record.